Molecule: ribosomal RNA, 423 nt
Filed under: uncultured Glomeromycotina
Lineage: Eukaryota; Fungi; Glomeromycota
Description: SSU rRNA
Rfam family: Eukaryotic small subunit ribosomal RNA
Source: RNAcentral
CGGUACGUACUGGCAUUGUUGGUUUCUCCCUUCUGACGAACCAUGAUGUCAUUUAUUUGGUGUUGUGGGGAAUCAGGACUGUUACUUUGAAAAAAUUAGAGUGUUUAAAGCAGGCUCACGCUUGAAUACAUUAGCAUGGAAUAAUGAAAUAGGACGUUGAUCUUAUUUUGUUGGUUUCUAGGAUUAACGUAAUGAUUAAUAGGGAUAGUUGGGGGCAUUAGUAUUCAAUUGUCAGAGGUGAAAUUCUUGGAUUUAUUGAAGACUAACUACUGCGAAAGCAUUUGCCAAGGAUGUUUUCAUUAAUCAAGAACGAAAGUUAGGGGAUCGAAGACGAUCAGAUACCGUCGUAGUCUUAACCAUAAACUAUGCCGACUAGGGAUCGGAUGAUGUUAAUUUUUUUAAUGACUCAUUCGGCGCCUUACG